GACGAACGCUGGCGGCGUGCUUAACACAUGCAAGUCGAACGGAAAGGCCCUGCUUGCCGGGUACUCGAGUGGCGAACGGGUGAGUAACACGUGGGUGAUCUGCCCUUCACUUCGGGAUAAGCUUGGGAAACUGGGUCUAAUACCGGAUAGGAGCCAUCUUUAGUGUGGUGGUUGGAAAGUUUUUUCGGUGUAGGAUGAGCUCGCGGCCUAUCAGCUUGUUGGUGGGGUAAUGGCCUACCAAGGCGGCGACGGGUAGCCGGCCUGAGAGGGUGUACGGCCACAUUGGGACUGAGAUACGGCCCAGACUCCUACGGGAGGCAGCAGUGGGGAAUAUUGCACAAUGGGCGCAAGCCUGAUGCAGCGACGCCGCGUGGGGGAUGAAGGCCUUCGGGUUGUAAACUCCUUUCGCUAGGGACGAAGCUUUGUUGUGACGGUACCUAGAUAAGAAGCACCGGCUAACUACGUG
This 466-nucleotide ribosomal RNA is filed under the name uncultured bacterium. Its description in RNAcentral is "partial 16S ribosomal RNA". It matches the Rfam family "Bacterial small subunit ribosomal RNA", at positions 28 to 507 of the family's 1533-position model. The record is from RNAcentral.